GACAGAUUCAGAAUACCCUGCCGGGGUUAUUACACCUUACUGUCAUGUAUACAGACCCUGCUGGGGUCCACUGGCAUUAUUUACACUACAACAGAUACCCUGCCGGGGUACCCCAUAUCAUACACCCUGCUGGGGUUGUUUUGGUACUUUGAGACAAUAAAUUGCACACAAUAAGUGCACACUACUGCAUAUCACACACGCUGCUGGGG
This is a non-coding RNA of Pelobates cultripes (western spadefoot toad), 209 nucleotides long. The record is from the annotation of a GenBank genome assembly. NCBI's taxonomy places the organism in Eukaryota, Metazoa, Chordata, Amphibia, Anura, Pelobatidae.